This 224-nucleotide ribosomal RNA is filed under the name uncultured bacterium. RNAcentral's name for it is "partial 16S ribosomal RNA". It matches the Rfam family "Bacterial small subunit ribosomal RNA", at positions 524 to 748 of the family's 1533-position model. The record is from RNAcentral.
UACGUAGGGUGCGAGCGUUGUCCGGAAUUAUUGGGCGUAAAGAGCUCGUAGGCGGUGUGUCACGUCGGCCGUGAAAACCUGCAGCUUAACUGUGGGCGUGCGGUCGAUACGGGCAUCACUGGAGUUCGGCAGGGGAGACUGGAAUCCUGGUGUAGCGGUGAAAUGCGCAGAUAUCAGGAGGAACACCGGUGGCGAAGGCGGGGGUCUCUGGGGGCCCGAUACUG